GACGAAGGGCGCGGGUGUUAUUCGUUUUGAUUGGGUGUAAAGGGUACGUAGGCGGCUUCCUGUUUUUUGGCUAAAAGGGCAGAGAGUUCCUGUGCAGGUAGCCUUCUAAAAUGGAAUCUAGCGUUGGACAGAGGUUAGCACAAUUUCUCAAGUAGGGGUAGAAUGCGCCGAUAUGAGAAGGAAUGGCAGUGGCGAAGGCGUCUUUCCAGGUCCAACGGACGCUAAAGUACGGAAGCUUAGGGAGCAAACAGG
Molecule: ribosomal RNA, 252 nt
Filed under: uncultured bacterium
Lineage: Bacteria
Description: partial 16S ribosomal RNA
Rfam family: Bacterial small subunit ribosomal RNA
Source: RNAcentral